GGGGGUGUCCCGGUUUCGACUAGGGAAUGAACUAUUGAUUGCAUGCGGAGGACGUCGGUUGGCCUCCUUAAUAAUCCGAUAAAACUAUAAAUGCCAACAAUGGUAAUAUGUUUGCUAAUGCUAGAGCUUUAGAGGAAUCUGAAGAAAUGGUGUUUGCAAAUGCUGCUUAAGACCUAAUAGUCUUAGUAGUACGAUAAUCCAAAACUGGACCAAGGGGUUUGGAACCUAUCGUUUUAAUUAACUUGGUAUGAACCCACUUCCGAGCUUCUAGGGAGUGAAGUUUAAGAUCAAAUGAAGCAAACUGAUUCUAAUGUUGUAUCCUGCAUGGGAGUCAGUUAACUUUCAGGAUGCUAAGCAUGUAGUGGUUAAUACGUAGUUUGCCAAGGACGAGAGUUCGAUUCUCUCCACCUCCAAUA
RNAcentral lists this transfer-messenger RNA (416 nucleotides) under Parachlamydiaceae. RNAcentral describes it as "JACDES01 sp013816265 Standard tmRNA". It matches the Rfam family "transfer-messenger RNA". From Rfam's summary of the family: Bacterial tmRNA, also known as 10Sa RNA or SsrA, is named for its dual tRNA and mRNA-like properties. Its role is to liberate the mRNA from a stalled ribosome. Lineage: Bacteria; Pseudomonadati; Chlamydiota; Chlamydiia; Parachlamydiales. The record is from RNAcentral. RNAcentral also lists the same sequence under 1 other name.